Long non-coding RNA from Culex quinquefasciatus (southern house mosquito), 880 nucleotides. RefSeq lists it as uncharacterized. The record is from RefSeq and is a predicted model, not a curated record. The transcript is spliced from 2 exons. Lineage: Eukaryota; Metazoa; Arthropoda; Insecta; Diptera; Culicidae.
AAAAAUCAUUUCAAAAUCAAACGAAACACGAGUAAAGAGCGGCAAUGUGUGGUGCAGUUUUUCUUAAACCCAAUGGGUUCAUUGUGAAUGGAUUACAUUCAUUAUUAUUUAUAUGUUUAUUAUAAAGCAAAACAAACAAACAACAAAACGAAUAUCAACAACAGCAGCACACACACAACACACACGAGUGUGUGGUGGACAACAACCUAUCGCUGGCAUGUGGACAAAUAAGAAUAGGGGAGAGUUACUCAUAUCGAAGAGCGAACGCAGGAAUGACGAAUGAAAUUAAAAGGAAUACCUAAACCGACGUUGCGCAGCGCGGUGUAAGACACGGUGGCGCCAACAAAAAAUAGGGAGAAAUUUCAACACAUAUUACAUUAAAAAAUAUUACAUAAAGAUAUGCUAUUAAAUAAACAAAAAAAAACAUUACAGAAAAAAACGCUAUUACAUAACUAAAUCGAUUUCGAUCUUUAAAUCGUUUAGCUAGUGAAAAAAAACUAAACAAAAACUAACGCUAAAUUCAACACAGUUAAAAGAAAUGUUUAAAGAGAGUAAAACAAAAUCCUAGAACUAAACAUAAAAUCCCAAAAGUGGGGUAGCAGCAAACGGUUAAGGUAUAUAAAUUUAAAGCCUGUGUGUAAGCAUUUUCGAUCAUCCGGUGAAAUCAAGCCUGCGCGGAAAAAAAAGAUUAGACAGAAAAAAAACCUAUAUACAUUUGAUUAUAUACUAGAUUUACUGAGGAAAGCAAGAGAGAAAAAAAGAAACAGUUAACAUUUGAUAUAUUAUUAUUGUGGAGACAAACUCGGCAAGAGACGCACCGAAUGCAUAGCAAAGAAUGUAAUCUUGUCAGUCAGAAUUGUGAAAAGGUGAAGCAAAAAAA